AGAGUUUGAUCCUGGCUCAGGACGAACGCUGGCGGCGCGCCUAACACAUGCAAGUCGAACGGAGCAAAUUAGUUUACUAAGGUGCUUAGUGGCGGACGGGUGAGUAACACGUGAGCAACCUGCCUAUCAGAGGGGGAUAACAUUCGGAAACGGAUGCUAAUACCGCAUAACAUAUAUUUGCGGCAUCGCAGAUAUAUCAAAGGAGCAAUCCGCUGAGAGAUGGGCUCGCGGCCGAUUAGAUAGUUGGCGGGGUAACGGCCCACCAAGUCGACGAUCGGUAGCCGGACUGAGAGGUUGAACGGCCACAUUGGGACUGAGACACGGCCCAGACUCCUACGGGAGGCAGCAGUGGGGGAUAUUGCACAAUGGGGGAAACCCUGAUGCAGCGACGCCGCGUGAGGGAAGACGGUCUUCGGAUUGUAAACCUCUGUCUUCGGGGACGAAAAGAUGACGGUACCCGAGGAGGAAGCCACGGCUAACUACGUGCCAGCCGUCGCGGUAAUAC
Molecule: ribosomal RNA, 505 nt
Filed under: uncultured Oscillospiraceae bacterium
Lineage: Bacteria; Bacillati; Bacillota; Clostridia; Eubacteriales; Oscillospiraceae
Description: bacterial SSU rRNA
Rfam family: Bacterial small subunit ribosomal RNA
Source: RNAcentral